CAUCUAGCGACCUCCACACCACCCUGACCAUCUAGCGACCUCCACAACAGUUGGAAACGACUGCUAAUACCGCAUACGAUCCAACCUCGGCAUCGAGGAUGGAUGAAAGGUGGCCUCUAUUUAUAAGCUAUCACUGAAGGAGGGGAUUGCGUCUGAUUAGCUAGUUGGAGGGGUAACGGCCCACCAAGGCAAUGAUCAGUAGCCGGUCUGAGAGGAUGAACGGCCACAUUGGGACUGAGACACGGCCCANACUCCUACGGGAGGCAGCAGUGGGGAAUCUUNCGCAAUGGNCGAAAGNCUGACGNAGCNANGCCGCGUGAGUGAUGACGGCCUUCGGGUUGUAAAGCUCUGUUAAUCGGGACGAAAGGUCCUCUUGCGAAUAGUUAGAGGAAUUGACGGUACCGGAAUAGAAAGCCACGGCUAACUACGUGCCAGCAGCCGCGGUAAUACGUAGGUGGCAAGCGUUGUCCGGAAUUAUUGGGCGUAAAGCGCGCGCAGGCGGAUCAGUCAGUCUGUCUUAAAAGUUCGGGGCUUAACCCCGUGAUGGGAUGGAAACUGCUGAUCUAGAGUAUCGGAGAGGAAAGUGGAAUUCCUAGUGUAGCGGUGAAAUGCGUAGAUAUUAGGAAGAACACCAGUGGCGAAGGCGACUUUCUGGACGAAAACUGACGCUGAGGCGCGAAAGCCAGGGGAGCGAACGGGAUUAGAUACCCCGGUAGUCCUGGCCGUAAACGAUGGGUACUAGGUGUAGGAGGUAUCGACCCCUUCUGUGCCGGAGUUAACGCAAUAAGUACCCCGCCUGGGGAGUACGNCCGCAAGGNUNAAACUCAAAGGAAUUGACGGGGGCCCGCACAAGCGGCGGAGCAUGUGGAUUAAUUCGAUGCAACGCGAAGAACCUUACCUGGGCUUGACAUACANCAGAUUGGGCUAGAGAUAGUUCGUCCCUUUGUGGUUGGUGUACAGGUGGUGCAUGGUUGUCGUCAGCUCGUGUCGUGAGAUGUUGGGUUAAGUCCCGCAACGAGCGCAACC
This 1026-nucleotide ribosomal RNA is filed under the name insect metagenome. RNAcentral's name for it is "bacterial SSU rRNA". It matches the Rfam family "Bacterial small subunit ribosomal RNA", at positions 100 to 1103 of the family's 1533-position model. The record is from RNAcentral.